GACGAACGCUGGCGGCGUGCCUAAUACAUGCAAGUUGAGCGCUGAAGGUUGGUACUUGUACCGACUGGAUGAGCAGCGAACGGGUGAGUAACGCGUGGGGAAUCUGCCUUUGAGCGGGGGACAACAUUUGGAAACGAAUGCUAAUACCGCAUAAAAACUUUAAACACAAGUUUUAAGUUUGAAAGAUGCAAUUGCAUCACUCAAAGAUGAUCCCGCGUUGUAUUAGCUAGUUGGUGAGGUAAAGGCUCACCAAGGCGAUGAUACAUAGCCGACCUGAGAGGGUGAUCGGCCACAUUGGGACUGAGACAAGGCCCAAACUCCUACGGGAGGCAGCAGUAGGGAAUCUUCGGCAAUGGACGAAAGGCUGACCGAGCAACGCCGCGUGAGUGAAGAAGGUUUUCGGAUCGUAAAACUCUGUUGGUAGAGAAGAACGUUGGUGAGAGUGGAAAGCUCAUCAAGUGACGGUAACUACCCAGAAAGGGACGGCUAACUACGUG
This 497-nucleotide ribosomal RNA is filed under the name uncultured bacterium. RNAcentral describes it as "partial 16S ribosomal RNA". It matches the Rfam family "Bacterial small subunit ribosomal RNA", at positions 28 to 507 of the family's 1533-position model. The record is from RNAcentral.